AUGUUUGAUUUUUUUAUUUAGGGUGGGGUAGAAUAGGAGAGCAGUGGGUGGGUGGAGAGAGAGGGACACGAGGAGUUAGUUCAGAUGUGCGGAGGGCAAGAUCGGGCGGCGGCGUGGUAGAGGAGGGGCCGUGGUGGCGUGAUGAGGGAGGGGCGCGGCACCGUGGUUGGGGAGGGGCACGGCGGCGUGGUAGAAGAGGGGACGUGAUGGUGUGGUGGAGUGAGGGGCACGGCACCGUUGUGGGGGAGGGGCGCGGCGGCGUGGUAGAAGAGGGUUCGUGGUGGCGUGGUGGAGUGAGAGGCGCGGCACCGUGGUGGUGGAGGGGCGCGGCGGUGUGGGAGAGGUUGGUGGAGGGAGGAACCCGGUGGACGGGGGCGCAGUCGGUCGGUAGCUUAGACGGGGUAGUGGUAGGAGGGUGCUGAUGGGCUACUGUCUAGGCCAACAUCGGCAGGACCCCCGCAAUCGUUACCGGCUGAGGUUCCUAACCUCCCCAAUGCAACUCGAACCCCCAGCGGCCUCUGGGUGGGGAGGUGGGGACGGGUCUAGGUAGUCCAGACCGUCGUGAGGGCGUAGCUACGUCGAGUGAAGCAGGUAUACCCACAAAAAAACCUAGCUUUACGUCGAGUGAAGCGGGUCAAAGGCCUUGUCGUACUCGCACGCCCGCAGGGACGGGACGUCGGUCCGCUGUCGUGGGCACGUCAGGUGUUUGCUCCGGCACUUCAACUUCUCGCUGGCCACUCCACCGGGAAAGGUCGCUCUUUUAGUACGUCACGACAGCUCACACCGCACGUCACGUUGAGCGGAGCCGCACGUCAGAUGCCGAGAGUGGACGUCGAGAGAGGAUGUGAAGAACAAACGUGCGCCGCCCUCUGUUCACGUGACGUGAUACCACCGGCCGGCGUAUUAAUAAAGAAAUCAUCAAGUAGAAACGACAAACAAAAUCAAAGUGGUACAAACACCAAGGGAAUACCGUAGAGCAUCAUGCAUAACGUAUAUGUACGUCAAAAAAGAUUACGCUUCUAUUGUUAUAUUACCACAUUGUCUUUUCAAGAUCUUGUUUUCUUGUGUUUAUCAAUUUUAUUACGUCAAGUGAUCAGAACAGAUGAUCAAACCUGCAUCAUUAUCUUUUCCAAAUGGCCUCCCGACUACACGGGCCGUCGCGGCGGUACGUCAAGCGACCGCUACGGUCUCUACGGCGCCUGCGCUCGCCAACUCUACCGGGACCACACGGCGAGUCUACCCGCCGCACGUGUUAAGUCAAUCUUUAAAAGAAAAAAUUUUGAUAAGUUCCUAUACAGGUUCGACCACGUCCAAAGACUAAAUAACGUCGAGCCAACCAGGGGUUUUAUGUCAAGACGACUAGGAGAUAACGUCGAGACCGUCCACGAUCACGACUAAAACACACAUACAUACACACACACCGACACAUUUUGUUGACUACCUACGUAACACGGGUACUUGUAGUAGUCGCUGGUAUCUGUCACCGCGUUAUAUCUUUCAUGAAACC
This 1507-nucleotide ribosomal RNA is filed under the name Triticum aestivum (bread wheat). Its description in RNAcentral is "partial small subunit ribosomal RNA". The record is from RNAcentral. Lineage: Eukaryota; Viridiplantae; Streptophyta; Magnoliopsida; Poales; Poaceae.